RNAcentral lists this ribosomal RNA (440 nucleotides) under uncultured bacterium. Its description in RNAcentral is "partial 16S ribosomal RNA". It matches the Rfam family "Bacterial small subunit ribosomal RNA", at positions 338 to 795 of the family's 1533-position model. The record is from RNAcentral.
CCUACGGGAGGCAGCAGUGGGGAAUAUUGGACAAUGGGGGGAACCCUGAUCCAGCGACGCCGCGUGAGUGAAGAAGUAUUUCGGUAUGUAAAGCUCUAUCAGCAGGGAAGAAAAUGACGGUACCUGACUAAGAAGCCCCGGCUAACUACGUGCCAGCAGCCGCGGUAAUACGUAGGGGGCAAGCGUUAUCCGGAUUUACUGGGUGUAAAGGGAGCGUAGACGGUGCAGCAAGUCUGAUGUGAAAGGUCGGGGCCCAACCCCGGGACUGCAUUGGAAACUGUUGAACUGGAGUACAGGAGAGGUAAGCGGAAUUCCCGGUGUAGCGGUGAAAUGCGUAGAGAUCGGGAGGAACACCAGUGGCGAAGGCGGCCUACUGGGCUCUAACUGACGCUGAGGCACGAAAGCGUGGGUAGCAAACAGGAUUAGAUACCCUUGUAGUC